AAUCCAUGGUGCUGGCAUAUUUGAAUCAACAUUUUGAAGUGUCCCUAUGCCUCAUAGAAGCUUUCUCCCUCCAUUUGCCUAAAGACAACAACGUCUCUUCUUAGUUG
RNAcentral lists this small nucleolar RNA (107 nucleotides) under Gossypium raimondii (Peruvian cotton). RNAcentral's name for it is "snoRNA LOC128032279". It matches the Rfam family "Plant small nucleolar RNA R71". From Rfam's summary of the family: R71 is a member of the C/D box family of snoRNAs containing the C (UGAUGA) and D (CUGA) box motifs. Lineage: Eukaryota; Viridiplantae; Streptophyta; Magnoliopsida; Malvales; Malvaceae. The record is from Rfam by way of RNAcentral.